AUACAGACUAUUAUUCAAACUGUUAAACUCGAGAAUGGUAGAGGUAACUGGAAUUUCUAGUGUAGGAGUGAAAUCCGUAGAUAUUAGAAGGAACACCGAUGGCGUAGGCAGGUUACUGGGCCAUUUCUGACGCUAAGGCACGAAAGCGUGGGGAGCGAACCGGAUUAGAUACCCGGGUAGUCCACGCCGUAAACGAUGGAUACUAGCUGUUGGAGGUAUCGACCCCUUCAGUAGCGAAGCUAACGCGUUAAGUAUCCCGCCUGUGGAGUACGGCCGCAAGGCUAAAACAUAAAGGAAUUGACGGGGACCGGCACAAGCGGUGGAUUAUGUUCUUUAAUUCGAUGAUAACCGAAGAACCUUACCAGGGCUUGACAUCCAGGGAAGGUCUGCGAAAGUAGACUGUGCCUUUUGGAACCCUGUGACAGGUGAUGCAUGGCCGUCGUCAGCUCGUGUCGUGAGAUGUUA
Molecule: ribosomal RNA, 465 nt
Filed under: Candidatus Saccharimonadota bacterium
Lineage: Bacteria; Candidatus Saccharimonadota
Description: bacterial SSU rRNA
Rfam family: Bacterial small subunit ribosomal RNA
Source: RNAcentral